UUUAUUUUAUUUUUGUUUUUUAAAUCAAGUUUCCCACACCCACAUGGCAACCCAACCCAGUCCAGUGGUGAAGGAUGGAUGUGUGUGGUCAGGGCGGGGAUGAUGGUUGGGGUGAUGGAGCUUCUGAUCCAUCUUAGGAAACUGGAUUUUGCAAAAGUACCAAGUUUCUAAAUCAAGGUUAGAACUCUAAGGUUCCAUCAACUCCCAACAGCAACUCUCCCUGACUCCCUCUCCCACUCAUUCUCUGCUACCUCAGGGUGAAACUGUGAUUCUCAAGAAGUUCAGGAGUCACUGGGAGAGGAUGAGGAUCUACUAUCUAAUUUCCAUUGCUAAAAUGUUCAUUCAUUUGGCCCUUUACUCCUUCAAAAAGACUAUGUGGUAGAGUGCCAGCAAAGAUCAUUGCUUCAAGCUCAGUUCCUGUACUUUCUAGCUUAGUGACUCGCUUGACUUCACUGAAAUUCGGUUUACCCGUAUAUGAUGGAUGGAUAGUAAUAUGUUUCCCAUCUCACAAGAAGCUUGGAGACUGUAUAUCUUUGCAAAAUGGAUUUUAAAGAAGAAAAACAACAGAAAAAAAUUAAAUCAGAGCAACUCCCAAGUUUUUCAACUGCUGAGCCUUGCUUCCUAUGCUUCCAGAAAAGAUGCUCUAAAUGUUACUGGAAUGACUGUUAGCUCCAAAGACUGAGGGCUCUCCAAGAAGGUGAACUUCAAAAAUGAGUAUUGCAACUAAAGGAAUGUCAAAACUCCAUCCUUGUCUCCUCUCUGCUUUAGGUGAGGGCAGGUAGGAAAGAGGGUGCAGCUGAAAAAGUCUUGUCUCUCAUCACUACCUCCCUCCCAACCCCUACAAAGGUCAUUGGGAAAAAAGAAUUCUCAUAAACCAAGAACUAUGGACUAGUAAAAGGGACAAGAACCUCAGAUGAUAAUGCAGUUUGCAGAGCCUCUUUCCUUGAGAAAACAGAACAGAAAGCUAUCAGUCACAAGCAGAACUGCUUAAAAGCUGGGGAGAGGUGAGAUAUACUUUUGGGGUUGUCUAUUUGUCCAUGAAUAGAACAACCUUCCUUAGCUUCUUAGACUGUCUUGACUUCUAGAAUUCAAGAAACUUUUGUUGGGCAUUUACUAGAUGCCAGAAACUCUGCUAGGUGCUGAGGAUAGAAAGAGAAACCUUAAAUAGUCUCUGGCCUCAUGGAGCUUAUAGUAUAUACAGGAUGUACACAGAUUAGUAAAUACAAAAGAUACAAUGUUAGGGCCAAAAGGGAUUUUAGAAAUCUUCACAUCUAAUCCUCUCCUUUUACAGAUCAGAUAAUCAAACCUCAUGAAAAUGAAAUUACUUGUCCAAGAUCCCAAAACGUUUAAGUGGUAGAGUCAACUGGUACUCAAUCCUAUGGGUUUGUAAGGAGAUAAAUUUCUACUGAGGUCCUUUCCAAAUAUAAAAUUUUGUGAUGUGACCCUAUCUUUAGACUUAUUUCUAGUACACUGUGUUUCUCUUUGUUUUCUCCUGCAAGAAGCCCAGAAUUAGUAGUGGAGGGAGACCCAGGCUAGUUUCCAAUGUGAGUUCCCAUUGUAGAAGUAAUAAUUAAACUGAAGUUCAUGUUUAGUUCAGAUAUUUUUGUCCUUAAAAUAGUCUUUUUUAUGAGAUGAUCAAAGACAGAAAGGUCCAAUAUAUAACAAAAUAUUCAUAGCAGCUU
Molecule: long non-coding RNA, 1682 nt
Organism: Monodelphis domestica (gray short-tailed opossum)
Lineage: Eukaryota; Metazoa; Chordata; Mammalia; Didelphimorphia; Didelphidae
Source: Ensembl